UGUUUCCAUUGCACGGGUCCACCACCGAUUUUCUGACACCCUUGGUUCCAGGGCCUUUUUGGAUUUU
Long non-coding RNA from Amblyraja radiata (thorny skate), 67 nucleotides. RefSeq lists it as uncharacterized. The record is from RefSeq and is a predicted model, not a curated record. NCBI's taxonomy places the organism in Eukaryota, Metazoa, Chordata, Chondrichthyes, Rajiformes, Rajidae. The transcript has 3 exons.